RNAcentral lists this ribosomal RNA (497 nucleotides) under uncultured bacterium. RNAcentral's name for it is "partial 16S ribosomal RNA". It matches the Rfam family "Bacterial small subunit ribosomal RNA", at positions 28 to 506 of the family's 1533-position model. The record is from RNAcentral.
GAUGAACGCUGGCGGCGUGCCUAAUACAUGCAAGUCGAGCGAACAGACGAGGAGCUUGCUCCUCUGACGUUAGCGGCGGACGGGUGAGUAACACGUGGAUAACCUACCUAUAAGACUGGGAUAACUUCGGGAAACCGGAGCUAAUACCGGAUAAUAUAUUGAACCGCAUGGUUCAAUAGUGAAAGACGGUUUUGCUGUCACUUAUAGAUGGAUCCGCGCCGCAUUAGCUAGUUGGUAAGGUAACGGCUUACCAAGGCAACGAUGCGUAGCCGACCUGAGAGGGGGGUCCGGCCCACCGGGACCUGGGCCCGGGGCCGACCCCCCCAGGGGGGCCGCGGGGGGGAAUCUUCCGCAAUGGGCGAAAGCCUACCGGAGCAACGCCGCGGGGGUGAAGAAGGUCUUCGGUUCGUAAACCCCUUUUUUUGGGGAAAAACAAAUGUUUAAGUAACUAUUCACGUCUUGCCGGUCCCUAACCAGAAAGCCCCGGCUACCUCCGU